RNAcentral lists this ribosomal RNA (235 nucleotides) under uncultured Undibacterium sp. RNAcentral describes it as "partial 16S ribosomal RNA". It matches the Rfam family "Bacterial small subunit ribosomal RNA", at positions 538 to 772 of the family's 1533-position model. The record is from RNAcentral. Lineage: Bacteria; Pseudomonadati; Pseudomonadota; Betaproteobacteria; Burkholderiales; Oxalobacteraceae.
GCGUUAAUCGGAAUUACUGGGCGUAUAGCGUGCGCAGGCGGUUUUAUAAGUCUGAUGUGAAAUCCCCGGGCUCACCCUGGGAACUGCAUUGGAGACUGUAAGGCUAGAGUGUGUCAGAGGGGGGUAGAAUUCCACGUGUAGCAGUGAAAUGCGUAGAUAUGUGGCGGAAUACCGAUGGCGAAGGCAGCCCCCUGGGAUAACACUGACGCUCAUGCACGAAAGCGUGGGGAGCAAA